AAUCUUCCACAAUGGGCGAAAGCCUGAUGGAGCAACGCCGCGUGGUGAAGAAGGUCUUCGGAUCGUAAAACCUGUUGUUAGAGAAGAAAGUGCGUGAGAGUAACUGUUCACGUUUCGACGGUAUCUAACCAGAAAGCCACGGCUAACUACGUGCCAGCAGCCGCGGUAAUACGUAGGUGGCAAGCGUUAUCCGGAUUUAUUGGGCGUAAAGGGAACGCAGGCGGUCUUUAAGUCUGAUGUGAAAGCCUUCGGCUUAACCGGAGUAGUGCAUUGGAAACUGGGAGACUUGAGUGCAGAAGAGGAGAGUGGAACUCCAUGUGUAGCGGUGAAAUGCGUAGAUAUAUGGAAGAACACCAGUGGCGAAAGCGGCUCUCUGGUCUGUAACUGACGCUGAGGUUCGAAAGCGUGGGUAGCAAACAGGAUUAGAUACCCUGGUAG
Molecule: ribosomal RNA, 438 nt
Filed under: uncultured bacterium
Lineage: Bacteria
Description: bacterial SSU rRNA
Rfam family: Bacterial small subunit ribosomal RNA
Source: RNAcentral